GACGAACGCUGGCGGCGUGCUUAACACAUGCAAGUCGAACGGAAAGGCCCUGCUUUUGUGGGGUGCUCGAGUGGCGAACGGGUGAGUAACACGUGAGUAACCUGCCCUUGACUUUGGGAUAACUUCAGGAAACUGGGGCUAAUACCGGAUAGGAGCUCCUGCUGCAUGGUGGGGGUUGGAAAGUUUCGGCGGUUGGGGAUGGACUCGCGGCUUAUCAGCUUGUUGGUGGGGUAGUGGCUUACCAAGGCUUUGACGGGUAGCCGGCCUGAGAGGGUGACCGGCCACAUUGGGACUGAGAGACGGACCAGACUGCUACGGGAGGCAGCAGUGGGGAAUAUUGCACAAUGGGCGGAAGCCUGAUGAAGCAACGCCGCGUGCGGGAUGACGGCCUUCGGGUUGUAAACCGCUUUCGCCUGUGACGAAGCGUGAGUGACGGUAAUGGGUAAAGAAGCACCGGCUAACUACGUG
Molecule: ribosomal RNA, 468 nt
Filed under: uncultured bacterium
Lineage: Bacteria
Description: partial 16S ribosomal RNA
Rfam family: Bacterial small subunit ribosomal RNA
Source: RNAcentral